ACCUUUUGUAUAAUGGGUCAGCGACUUAUAUUCAGUAGCGAGGUUAACCGUAUAGGGGAGCCGUAGAGAAAUCGAGUCUUAAUAGGGCGUUUAGUUGCUGGGUAUAGACCCGAAACCAGGCGAUCUAUCCAUGAGCAGGUUGAAGGUUGGGUAACACUAACUGGAGGACCGAACCCACUGUCGUUGAAAAGCCAGGGGAUGACUUGUGGAUAGGGGUGAAAGGCUAAUCAAGCCUGGUGAUAGCUGGUUCUCCCCGAAAGCUAUUUAGGUAGCGCCUCGGACGAAUACCAUAGGGGGUAGAGCACUGUUUCGGCUAGGGGGUCAUCCCGACUUACCAAACCGAUGCAAACUCCGAAUACCUAUGAGUACUAUCCGGGAGACAGACUGCGGGUGCUAACGUCCGUAGUCAAGAGGAAAACAAUCCAGACCGCCAGCUAAGGCCCCAAAAUCAUAGUUAAGUGGGAAACGAUGUGGGAAGGCAUAGACAGCUAGGAGGUUGGCUUAGAAGCAGCCACCCUUUAAAGAAAGCGUAAUAGCUCACUAGUCGAGUCGGCCUGCGCGGAAGAUGUAACGGGGCUAAAACUAUGUGCCGAAGCUGCGGAUGUAUACUUUGUAUACGUGGUAGGGGAGCGUUCUGUAAGCCGAUGAAGGUGUGUUGAGAAGCAUGCUGGAGGUAUCAGAAGUGCGAAUGCUGACGUGAGUAACGACAAAACGGGUGAAAAACCCGUUCGCCGAAAGACCAAGGGUUCCAGUCCAACGUUAAUCGGGGCUGGGUGAGUCGACCCCUAAGGCGAGGCCGAAAGGCGUAGUCGAUGGGAAAAUGGUUAAUAUUCCAUUACUUCUGUGUAAUGCGAUGAGAGGACGGAGAAGGCUAAAUCAGCCUGGCGUUGGUUGUCCAGGUGAAAGGAUGUAGGCAUGUAUCUUAGGCAAAUCCGGGGUACUCUAUGCUGAGAUCUGAUAGCAAGCUGUACUUGUACAGCGAAGUGGUUGAUGCCAUGCUUCCAGGAAAAGUCUCUAAGCUUCAGUUACACAGGAAUCGUACCCGAAACCGACACAGGUGGUCAGGUCGAGUAGACCAAGGCGCUUGAGAGAACUCUGCUGAAGGAACUAGGCAAAAUGGUACCGUAACUUCGGGAGAAGGUACGCUGUUGUUGGUGAUGGAACUCGCUUCCUGAGCUGACGACAGCCGCAGAAACCAGGCCGCUGCAACUGUUUAUUAAAAACAUAGCACUCUGCAAACACGAAAGUGGACGUAUAGGGUGUGAUGCCUGCCCGGUGCUGGAAGGUUAAUUGAUGGGGUUAGCGUAAGCGAAGCUCUUGAUCGAAGCCCCAGUAAACGGCGGCCGUAACUAUAACGGUCCUAAGGUAGCGAAAUUCCUUGUCGGGUAAGUUCCGACCUGCACGAAUGGCAUAAUGAUGGCGGCGCUGUCUCCAGCAGAGGCUCAGUGAAAUCGAAAUCGCUGUGAAGAUGCAGUGUACCCGCGGCUAGACGGAAAGACCCCGUGAACCUUUACUGCAGCUUGACACUGAACUUUGACCUUACUUGUGUAGGA
RNAcentral lists this ribosomal RNA (1553 nucleotides) under Acinetobacter baumannii. RNAcentral's name for it is "partial 23S ribosomal RNA". It matches the Rfam family "Bacterial large subunit ribosomal RNA", at positions 603 to 2143 of the family's 2925-position model. The record is from RNAcentral. Lineage: Bacteria; Pseudomonadati; Pseudomonadota; Gammaproteobacteria; Moraxellales; Moraxellaceae.